CCUUGGUAGGUUGUCGGCUGGCCACUUUAAAGGCAAUGUGCACACCUGUCCUCGGUUCCUACUUGCUUAUCCUCCUGUGCAUUUCUUGUGGCUCUGCUCUCCGAAUGGUGAGCAGUGGUCAUGCUAUACUGCCUAUAGACGAGUGUAAUUGAGUGUGCUUGUGAUUGGUAUUACUAUACAACUUUCAGCAACGGAUCUCUUGGCUCUUGCAUCGAUGAAGAACGCAGCGAAAUGCGAUAAGUAAUGUGAAUUGCAGAAUUCAGUGAAUCAUCGAAUUUUUGAACGCACCUUGCACUCCUUGGUAUUCCGAGGAGUACGCCUGUUUGAGUGUCAGUUGAUCCAUAAGGUGGUAUAUGCCCUGGUCCCGGGUCGCUUAUGUGUCCUGAGUUAGCUGGGGGGAGCCGUACAAUGGGGAUUGUUUGCCUUUCGUGUUGUCUGUCAGGUAGUCGGCCGUUCCUUCGGGGUCCAGUGCACACCUGUCUUGGGCUUUAGCACGAUGGGUGGGCUUCUCUGAAAAGCAUUUGUGGGAGCUGCAAGUGACUUGUUUGUUGGGCUAUAGGCGUCAUAGUUUUAUGCGCCGGCAAGUUUGCUUGUGAUCUUGCAAUUUCCUGUGAACUCCUGGAUGGGAGCACAUUGACGAAUUUGACCUCAGAUCAGGCGGGACUACCCGCUGAACUUAAGCAUAUCAAUA
RNAcentral lists this ribosomal RNA (691 nucleotides) under Leucocoprinus sp. Tsp1_5. RNAcentral's name for it is "eukaryotic LSU rRNA". The stretch from base 180 to 333 matches the Rfam family "5.8S ribosomal RNA". The record is from RNAcentral. Lineage: Eukaryota; Fungi; Basidiomycota; Agaricomycetes; Agaricales; Agaricaceae.